Non-coding RNA from Borealophlyctis nickersoniae, 90 nucleotides. Lineage: Eukaryota; Fungi; Chytridiomycota; Chytridiomycetes; Rhizophlyctidales; Borealophlyctidaceae. The record is from the annotation of a GenBank genome assembly.
UCUCAGUUAGUAUAGUGGUCAGUAUCUCCGCCUGUCAACCUUCUGGUCAACAGCCCGCGGAAGACCCGGGUUCGAUUCCCGGACUGAGAG